This 292-nucleotide ribosomal RNA is filed under the name uncultured bacterium. Its description in RNAcentral is "partial 16S ribosomal RNA". It matches the Rfam family "Bacterial small subunit ribosomal RNA", at positions 505 to 796 of the family's 1533-position model. The record is from RNAcentral.
GUGCCAGCAGCCGCGGUAAUACAGAGGGUGCAAGCGUUGUCCGGAAUCACUGGGCGUAAAGGGCGCGUAGGCGGCCCGGUAAGUAGGGGGUGAAAUCUCACGGCUCAACUGUGAGGCUGCCUUCUAGACUGCCAGGCUCGAGCACAGUAGAGGCUGGUGGAAUUCCCGGUGUAGCGGUGGAAUGCGUAGAGAUCGGGAAGAACAUCUGUGGCGAAGGCGGCCAGCUGGGCUGUUGCUGACGCUGAUGCGCGACAGCGUGGGGAGCAAACAGGAUUAGAAACCCUGGUAGUCC